UGAGGAAUAUUGGUCAAUGGGCGAGAGCCUGAACCAGCCAAGUCGCGUGAGGGAAGACGGUCCUACGGAUUGUAAACCUCUUUUGUCGGGGAGCAAUAAAGCGUACGCGUACGCAGAUGCGAGUACCCGAAGAAAAGCAUCGGCUAACUCCGUGCCAGCAGCCGCGGUAAUACGGAGGAUGCGAGCGUUAUCCGGAUUUAUUGGGUUUAAAGGGUGCGCAGGCGGAAAGUGCAAGUCAGCGGUCAAACGACGGGGCUCAACCCCGUCUCGCCGUUGAAACUGUCUUUCUAGAGUGAGCGAGAAGUAUGCGGAAUGCGUGGUGUAGCGGUGAAACUGCAUAGAUAUCACGCAGAACUCCGAUUGCGAAGGCAGCAUACCGGCGCUCAACUGACGCUCAUGCACGAAAGCGUGGGUAUCGAACAGGAUUAGAUACC
Molecule: ribosomal RNA, 434 nt
Filed under: uncultured bacterium
Lineage: Bacteria
Description: bacterial SSU rRNA
Rfam family: Bacterial small subunit ribosomal RNA
Source: RNAcentral